This is a long non-coding RNA of Papaver somniferum (opium poppy), 742 nucleotides long. RefSeq lists it as uncharacterized. Lineage: Eukaryota; Viridiplantae; Streptophyta; Magnoliopsida; Ranunculales; Papaveraceae. The record is from RefSeq and is a predicted model, not a curated record. The transcript is spliced from 2 exons.
AGAAUUUUGAUAUUUGGUCAUUGUAAGAGUAUACUCAGAAAAAACCGACGAGAGACUCAGGUGAGGAGAAAAAGAAAAAAAUCCAACUUCGAGCUUCAGAAACUUCUACCCAAAAAUUUUAUGAACCUAACUAAUUGAAGUGAUGUAGUUGGUGUUCUGAAGUUUGUUGACCGAUGGGGAAUUUAAGAGUGAAAGAAGUGGAUUUCUUAUGUUCUUACUGAUUGAAGAUUGGAGGUGUCUUUGGAUUCAAUAGGCGAACUACGGCGGUUAAGGUUUGAGUUGUGAGUUGAGGUGGGGACUUACAUUUUUCUUUUGUAAUCAUUGAUGGCUUUUAACAAAAUUAUGUUUAUGCACUUAAAUAAACUCAUGCAUUGUUGGAUUUGAUUUCCGAUAACUCAGUAGAUUCUUUAAGUCUUUUCCAUUACUUGGAAAUGACCUGAAAUGUACUUGCUUGCCUUUGUGAUUGUAUGGGAAAUAAGAAUUUCCAUCUGUGGUAUAUAUGAUACGCUCCUUCAUUUAUAACUACUUUUUUUCAGCAUUUAUGCAAUGGCUAGGGCGACACAACACAAUAUUAUUAUCUAGGUGUGGAACUGGUUGACACUAUAUUAUACAUUGUUUGAAGGAGGAGCUAGUGUCCAUGUACUUGAUUGUUUUGUCCCCUUUAAUUUUUAGAGUACAUGCUUGUUUAUGUCACUGAACUAAAUGUGUUACUAUCGUUUAAGGAAAACUUGCAUUCUUUUAA